UGCGUAGGCGGGCUAAUAAGUCAGUGGUGAAAUCUUUCGGCUCAACCGAGAAACUGCCAUUGAUACUGUUAGUCUUGAGUUCGGUUGAGGUAGGCGGAAUGUGUAAUGUAGCGGUGAAAUGCUUAGAUAUUACAUAGAACACCAAUUGCGUAGGCAGCUUACUAGACCGACACUGACGCUGAGGCACGAAAGCGUGGGGAGCGAACAGGAUUAGAUACCCUGGUAGUCC
RNAcentral lists this ribosomal RNA (229 nucleotides) under uncultured bacterium. Its description in RNAcentral is "partial 16S ribosomal RNA". It matches the Rfam family "Bacterial small subunit ribosomal RNA", at positions 568 to 796 of the family's 1533-position model. The record is from RNAcentral.